Molecule: ribosomal RNA, 253 nt
Filed under: uncultured bacterium
Lineage: Bacteria
Description: partial 16S ribosomal RNA
Rfam family: Bacterial small subunit ribosomal RNA
Source: RNAcentral
UACGUAGGGCGCAAGCGUUAUCCGGAAUUAUUGGGCGUAAAGAGCUCGUAGGCGGUUUGUCGCGUCGAAUGUGAAAUCCCGGGGCUCAACCCCGGGCCUGCAUUCGAUACGGGCAGACUAGAGUUCGGUAGGGGAGUCUGGAAUUCCUGGUGUAGCGGUGAAAUGCGCAGAUAUCAGGAGGAACACCGAUGGCGAAGGCAGGUCUCUGGGCAUUAACUGACGCUGAGGAGCGAAAGCAUGGGGAGCGAACAGG